CUAGGAGCUCUCACAGCCAUUUAGUAUCCUAAGCCGUUCGAUCUAACCAUCUAAUGGUCUACAACUACACAGUAUUACCGAAUAGUCCUCUUCCUUCAUUCCAUCCCGUCAAAGGCCAGUGCUGCCUCAUUUUGACAUAUCGAGCGCGUCACGGCCUGCCAACAUGACUGGGCUGCUUCUCUGGAAACUGACUUGGACGCCUUUCCGUUGACCGGGCCGAAAUUAGAGAUUGAUGGGCCUAUACGGUUGCCUCCUCCUCAUUACUUUUGCUUGCAAUUGUAGUCCAGUAGGGACUCGGGAAGACGGAGCGGUCGCAGAGAGAGGCCAUGGCGGCGCCGCCGCCAUUAUUGCGCGAUUGAUGCUAUUGCAGACGAGCCAAAUUUUAUGUUUCCUUUCUCUCCGCUGGUCAUGGUGGACGCGCGUUUUAUGCCUGUACCUCCUCUGCUGGUUCUUCAAUCCUCAUACGACAGCGACUGUCCCACGGCGGCGACACCCAACUGCUAGCGUUUCGGGAUGGCUACAGUGAGCGGCCACAGAUCCAUGGGGCCGCCUCUCUUCGGGCUCAUUGGCCGCCAUGAUGCCCGGCUACCUUCCGGCGGUAAGCUUUUGGGCAACGCCCCUGAAUAACAAGUGCUUAAUAUCAUGAAUGUGAUUUGUUCACCUCCCGUCAGAUUAUUCACUUAUUGAUUUGUCUUCUCGUCGGGUACCGGAGUCAGUUUUUGUAUGGGGGCGGAGAAGGGAGAAGGAGGCGUAAAUGGUGGCGGCAGCAGGGUAGGGCACGACCAGCGACGACUGGACGGCUUGUUCAUGCAGAUGACAGGUGCGUCCCAUUCUGCCUUACAUCUCCACGAGAUCUGUACGAUUUUUGGCUUUGAAGCAUCUUGGUGGUGUUAUGUUAGAUCUAAUUAUAUCUCUGGAUCCAAUUCUUGGCCUAAUAUUGCAGUUUGUAUUGAUUUAUUUUAGGAGCUACUCCUGAUAAAUAUUACGGUGCUGCACACAGUUUCUUGAUGUAUACAUCUUGUUGUCUAUGCAAUGAACCGAGCUUUCAGUUGCGUAGGAUAAACAAACUGUGUGCUUGUUAUUCUUAUAAUGCAGUUAUUGGUUCCUGGGUCUACACAAUUUCAGACCAAAUGCAGGCCUUGCAAACCAUGAAUGUGAUAGUUGGUUUGCAGUCCAAGAGUUCCAGUCUGUCUAUUCCAAACUUCGUUAUUGGAAUGUUGUGUGUCAAGUUCUCUUUAAUAACAAAACAUACAACUGAUGUAAUGCUAUGAAUAUAUAUCAUAUUGAAGGAAAUCUCUCCGCAUGAUGAUUUAUUCAAGUGCCUUUUUCUUGUAAUUGGCCAAUGCAGCCAAGAUGUGCUCAUCCGUUAUGGUAAUUCCUACAUCUGUAUGGCAUCUUGUAAUAAAUUCUCGAAAUUCUCAGCCCAGAAAAUACUCAUGUAACCAUGUAUGCAGGUGCCCUGUAGAGUACCACCCAUAUCCUGUUUACAGUAAUGAUUUAGAAGAUAUAGUUUGACUAUGACAAGCUAGCUUGCACAAAUCUUAUUAUGGAUAUUUUAUUCUGUGUUCGAAUAUAAUAUUUUUUCUACCAUAUUAGUUAGCUGUUGCAUGAAACAAAUCAUAUGAAUUAUCCUCAUGUUGAGACUGCAAAGAGGUUAAGCUUAGGUACCCUGGGCUUAGCACAUACUCCAUUCUUAUUUUUUACAUGCCAUUUGAUUACUGCAGGUAGGUGUACAAUCAACAUUUUUUUGUUAUCUCGGUUAUUUUCUAUUCCCACUUAAUACUUUGACUGCUUCUGUAUUUGGUUACUUAACCUUUUUUAGCCUUUUGGGGUAUACAGAGGAUCUGUAGCUGCAUAGAUGCCAGGUUUUACUCCCUGUUAUCUAAACUGUCUCCUCCAUAUUCAAAUGAAUUUCUUGCAAAUAUGUGAUUGCUGGAAAAUAUUCAUUUCUAAUUUGUUCUUGCUUCAGUUUAUGACCAUGAAAAGGUUCACUACUGUGAUACUCUGUCGGAAGGAUUACCCUUAGGCUUUUCCAGAUUGGUAUUUUAGUAGAUUUUUCUCAAAUAAGUUUUUAUGUAUAUGAAGUGGUUAUAGCAGCCUUGAAGGGAACAUAAUGAAAAUAAUAAUAAAAUCUUAUGAAAAAAUGAUGUUAGAAAGAAUAUAUACAAUGUACUACAAUAUGACAAUGGGUUUAAGGAGUUAUUUGCAUUGCUUCUCUAUGUAAACUUAAUAAAUGUUACUGACUUGAUUGCAUUGCUUCUGUCAGAAUCUCAUUACGAUGCUUAUUGUUUAUUCAACUUCUGUUGGUUCCCCCCAGGAUACUAUAACAACCUCCAACGACUUGAGGUAAGAACUUUGCAUCUAUUUCUACCAGUGGGAAAUCUUAUACCUGGGAUGAUUUCUAAUCAUGCUUUAGUACUUUGAUGUGUAUCAAGCACAAAUUUUAGCAUUAUUUUUUCAAUCUAUUUUAUACAUACACUAGAAGCAUGUAAGUGCUGAUUCGGAAAUUCUGCUAAUUCGCCAAAGUCUAUGGAUACCACGCCGUGUUGGCGGCCAUCGGUUUAUUAACUCCUGCAGUGCUAUUAGUUUAUGGGCGCAGAAGAUGCAAAUCUGGGACCAGCGACUUUGAUCGACCAGUGUUGCUCCACCCUUGCAAGAUAGAUUCACCAGACAACCUUUGAUUACUUACUGUCCGCGUGAAGCUAAUUUGUAACUCACAAUGGAAUUGUCGAAUUGCUCUAUUCGUACUGGAUUUGGCAUGAUGGCUUGAAGGUAGGCUGUAGCGGCAGGAUCAGGGGAUGUGUGUGGAGUUGUGGACACCUCUAGCUUUGGCGCUCCAGCGUUCAUGCCUCCAGGGGAAACUGAUGCAGGUCAAACGCCAGAUCCAGUUCAUCGCCUCGCCAUGAUUAGGGUAAAGCAACAACCACACAUCUAUUCUUAGUUGCGAAUUUCGAGUUUUUGGGGUUUCAAUCCAUUGGUUCCUGUUGGGGUUUGGCAGGAGAAGGUGCCUGCAGACAUGAGGCCAUUGUUGGGGCACACAUGAGAAAUGUUCUAGCUUUGACGGGACGGCAUACAGAUUACGCUGUAGACCAUGUUGAUCUGGCUUGAAAAGUAGUGUUGCAGCUCUCUUUCUUGAGUCUGUAGUUCUACAGGAGUUUAUCUGGCAUAUAGCUAGAAGUUUAUUUUGCAGUACAUAGCAAAUUGAAGCUGUUGGGUUGCUAUUGUAUAACAGUAGCUGAUGUUUGAUUGAUGGGUUGUGCUGCUUGGAGUAGUUUACCAUGUUACAUAAAUGGUACAUUGAUUGAGCCAUCUGGGCAGUCUUUUACAUUUGCUUAUCUUAAAACAACAUAGAGUGGAGCUUCAUGCUGGGCAAUAAUGUAGGAGAUAGAAUAAACCUGUCAGCUGAGUCCAUAUACUAUUUUCUUUUACACUCAAAAAUGAUCUCAGGACCGGAUAAAAAUAAUGGUGUUCAAUCUUUCAUCUGACGUUUUUCUUUGGCUUCAGCCUUCAGGUUGUCCCAUAAUAUGUGAUUUAACUGGAGUUAGAAGUAAAUUUGUAUAUACUAAAGACGUGGCUUAUUUUCCUUGAAAUUGAUACUUUGGUGAGAACAAAAUACUGGAGGCCAUCAUCAUAUCAAUAUGGGUAAGCAUACAUAUUCGCUUUUUACUGACUUUUGUUCUUUGUUUUAAAAUUUUGUUUUCUGAAAUCUAGCUGCCUACAAACAUGAUUCAUUAUUGAAC
Molecule: long non-coding RNA, 3740 nt
Organism: Lolium rigidum
Lineage: Eukaryota; Viridiplantae; Streptophyta; Magnoliopsida; Poales; Poaceae
Exons: 3
Source: RefSeq, a predicted model, not a curated record